UAGCUCAGUUGGUAGAGCAUGGCGCUUGCAACGCCAGGGUUGUGGGUUCGGUUCGAUUCCCAC
RNAcentral lists this transfer RNA (63 nucleotides) under Salmo salar (Atlantic salmon). It matches the Rfam family "tRNA", at positions 8 to 63 of the family's 71-position model. Rfam says of the family: Transfer RNA (tRNA) molecules are approximately 80 nucleotides in length. Their secondary structure includes four short double-helical elements and three loops (D, anti-codon, and T loops). Lineage: Eukaryota; Metazoa; Chordata; Actinopteri; Salmoniformes; Salmonidae. The record is from Rfam by way of RNAcentral.